AACGCACCUUGCGCUCCUCGGUAUUCCGAGGAGCAUGCCUGUUUGAGGGUCGUGAGGGAAAGGGGCCUCUAAGUGGCACCCGGACAACUGCCAUCGGGCCGCGAUCACCGUGACCGAGGUGAAGUUGGAUGUGGAGGUGGCAUCUUGCUGUUUGCUGGCUUUCAUUGUCGGCUCCUCUUGAAUCAAUGGAGCCUCGCCCGUGGCGGAGUACCGCUGACGUGAUACCUAUCUACGUCGUUGCGAAAAGCCCGUUUGUGAGCGAGGUUUAAUGACCAGGAAGAGAGAGAUGGUCCCCUCUGGGAGGGCAUCUCAUUCCGCCGGUCGCGUAGAUCGACCUCAAAUCAGGUAGGACCACCCGCUGAACUUAA
Molecule: unclassified non-coding RNA, 368 nt
Filed under: uncultured Agaricomycetes
Lineage: Eukaryota; Fungi; Basidiomycota; Agaricomycetes
Description: sequence contains ITS2
Rfam family: 5.8S ribosomal RNA (bases 1-52)
Source: RNAcentral